CGUUGGAAACUCUUGAAAAGGUCCUCGUGGUUGGAAAUUAGAAUCCUCGUCAAACAAGUAUACCACUAUGCCAGUCUGAAAUUCAAAGCCUUUACAAGGAGAUAUUGAUGACGGCGGUAGCGAUCAAGACUUAUUACCACUUUAUAAUAUUCUAUCACAUCCGACUUUAUAAUAUUCUCAAAGACUCAAAGUGGAUUGUAAAUUAUCCUUUUCUGACGACCAAAUGGCGCACUGUCAUUGAUGGCCGCAAGUGAUUGUUAAAAUAUGGAUUUCCUCCCACUCGGAUGCAGAAGGCCCUCUUGCACCAUAUCUUCUUUCCUUCCAUGUUUGGAAAUUAAUCCAAAACUUAUCAUCCUUCACGCAAUCAUCCCUUCCGGUUUCAGCCACAUAUACUUUCUGGAAAAAAGGAAGGAUAAUGAAUGGAAUUAAUUUGAUCUUGCAACAAGCAAGAAGUACAAAUUAUGUGUGAUAAUCUUACCACAAGAGCAGUGUGAUGAUGCACUGUACUCUCUAGAGUAGCAUUGAACUUCACACCUAGCAGCCCACAAAUCUUUGAAGAGAGCUCCUUGAUUGAAGCUUUUUCCAUGGCUGACCAGUUCCCAAUUCCAAGUAUCUGAGGUGGAGAGACAUUUAAUUUACUAAAUUUAUUAUUUAAACACUUAUUUAAUCAAGAAGCAUUUUGGAUUGAUGAAAUUUUACCCUUCUCCUCUCUUCACUUCUCCAAUAUGUGAACUUUUUCCCCUCAAAUUUGUCAACCUUGCUCAUUAGCUCUUCAAUUUUUAGCCCGUAUGGUGAGUUCUCGAACUCAAUCCGUAGUUGUUCCUUAAUUCAAAAUCAUAUCAUAAUAUUGCAUAAAACAAAAUGUAGUGUAUUUCUGAAAAUAUUUAGUGUUGUUAUGCAUAUGUAUGUAUGUGUGUAUGUACACACUUACAGUCUUGCUUUCAUUGGUCUUGGGAAACCGUCCAAGUUGAAUGUAUGCCUUUGCCAAUAUUUUCGUUACAUUUGUCUGUUAUAAUAGUUUUAGUAAGUAGAUUAUAAAAAAAGAAUAAAGUCUUAUGUGCCAAAUAUAACGCAAAAAAUGCAUGGUUGUUUAUAAAUAAAUACUGACUGCAUGGCUUGAUUUGGCCAAGUCAAAUUCUUGCUUGUCAAACUUGGAGCCCAGAUUCUUUAUUGCCUUCUCCAUUGUUGCCUGCCGUUUCUGCACGUCUUUGACCAUUUC
This 1219-nucleotide long non-coding RNA is filed under the name Dendronephthya gigantea. RNAcentral's name for it is "uncharacterized LOC114526595". The record is from RNAcentral. Lineage: Eukaryota; Metazoa; Cnidaria; Anthozoa; Malacalcyonacea; Nephtheidae.